CCUACGGGGGGCAGCAGUGGGGAAUAUUGGGCAAUGGGCGCAAGCCUGACCCAGCAACGCCGCGUGAAGGAAGAAGGCUUUCGGGGUGUAAAAUUCUUUUCUCAGGGACGAAAAAAGUGACGGUACCUGAGGAAUAAGCCACGGCUAACUACGUGCCAGCAGCCGCGGUAAUACGUAGGUGGCAAGCGUUAUCCGGAUUUAUUGGGGGUAAAGGGCGUGUAGGCGGGAGCGCAAGUCUGAUGUGAAAACUCAGGGCCCAACCCUGGGCUUGCAUUUGAAACUGUGUUUCUUGAGUGCUGGAGAGGCAAGCGGAAUUCGGUGAGUAGCGGUGAAAUGCGUAGAUAUAAGGAGGAACACCAGUGGCGAAGGCGGAUUGCUGGACUGUAACUGACGCUGAGGCGCGAAAGCGUGGGGAGCAAACAGGAUUAGAUACCCGGGUAGUC
This 443-nucleotide ribosomal RNA is filed under the name uncultured bacterium. RNAcentral describes it as "partial 16S ribosomal RNA". It matches the Rfam family "Bacterial small subunit ribosomal RNA", at positions 338 to 795 of the family's 1533-position model. The record is from RNAcentral.